CCUGAAUCCAGUUAAUGAAUCCUCUGUUAUGGCUUGCUGUGACUCACAAGAUGUGCAGUGUUUCUUCUGGUCUCUCCUGCCCUGUUCCAUUUCCUGGUGAAUAUUUAUGCUCUGAAGUUUGGUUGCAGCUGGCUAUGCUGUGCCCUGCAUCAGCCUCCAGAGAGCCUGUGUCACAGGAGAGGAAACCUUUCAGCUGGAGAAGUCAGCCACUGUUCAAGCUUGACCCAGAUUCUGAGGCUUUCAUCUGGAGAGCUUCCUCACUGAUUUUCAGUCUUGGCUGUGUGAGUUUGUCUCCAGACCAGUCUGAGAAUGUAAGAGCUGGGGAAUCAUCUGACUCUUGCUGGAAGCAAGAGCACCCACUGGGAGCUGUUCUGCCAGGUGGGAGAGAAUGGUCAUGGUCAGAGAUUAACCCUGAGCUCAGCUGAGGCCCUGGGCAGUAGGAACCUUGCUGCAUUCACAGUCUGGGCCUGGAGAACAGCCAGGGGCACAGAUGUUUCUGAAGGAUAUAGAACAGACUGAUCUAGUGACUGGAAGGUCCAAAGCUCUUUCUUGAUUUGACCUGAGAUUUGGGAAAUUAGUAGGUUUUAAUCCUUGUGAUCCUGGAAUGCCCAUGGGAUGUGAAAAGAAGCCUGGACCUCUUGAAACACCCUGUACCACAAAAACAACCUUACUGUGAAGGACUGUAUUAAACUACUCGAGAUUUUGUUUGCUGAAUCCUUUAAGAAUGUGAGAGACCAUCAAAUUACUCUAAAUGUUCAUUUGUAGUUUUUAAAAUUUUGAUUUUACUUGUUUGUAAUCCUAUUACCUAUUUGGUGCUCAGUAAAUAAAACAACCUGCAGCUAUUUCCUUUGACUUGCUGUAAAGCUUGCCAAAGCUGUAACUUAAUACCAAGGCAUCCCAGCACUGUGGACGUGUUGAUCCUCUGACAGCCAGUGAGUUCCUCUGGGCUAACCAGGGGGUUAUAAAACACAUCUUAACCUGCAGCUAUUCAGCAGAAAUCUUUCCUUACCUGAUAUUAGCCAGGAAAUCCCUCUGGCCUGCCCUGGAGGGGAGGGGUCCCUGAAGUCCAUGGGCAGCCAGAGAGGUUUUGAUGGCUGUAUUCUGUAAACACAGCACCUUCUCCACCAGUCAUUAUCCUGCCCUCCCUACUCUCCCAAAUAUCUAAUGUGUAAAAGAAAGCCACAAUUGCAAGGUCAAACUUUCAAAUUCCAAGCUGCUGCUUCUGAGUGCUGUUGAGUUGACCAAAAGGUAUUUCAGAAGUGCCAUAGAUCUCCAAGAUCAAUCCAACAAACUGGAGAUUGGGCAGACCUAUGAUGCCCUCAGAGAAACAGAGAAUGUUGGAGGUCAAAGGUUUGGAUUACAGGAUGAGGAAGUUAAAGCUCCAUGUCUGAGUCAUGAUCUUUUGUUUGGCUCUUCUGAGAAGGGGAUUUUUGUGUGCUUUUAGAAGAGAAAUUGUUCUGCUUUUAAAGUAAUUGCCUUUGAUUUCAAAUGAAGGAAAGUAAGUAUAAAAAAGGAAUGUUUGUCC
Molecule: long non-coding RNA, 1525 nt
Filed under: Taeniopygia guttata (zebra finch)
Lineage: Eukaryota; Metazoa; Chordata; Aves; Passeriformes; Estrildidae
Description: lncRNA (ENSTGUG00000019309.1)
Source: RNAcentral